This 2084-nucleotide long non-coding RNA is filed under the name Homo sapiens (human). RNAcentral describes it as "non-protein coding lnc-IFNK-5:1". Lineage: Eukaryota; Metazoa; Chordata; Mammalia; Primates; Hominidae. The record is from RNAcentral.
CCAACUAAUUGAAAGGCAGCAAGGAGAAUCUUCUUGCCCCACAUUAUGUCAAUUUUAGGAACUAUUGCCAGGAGAGUGAAGUCAUAAAUAAACACUGCUUCCAGGGGAAGAAGAUCCAGAGGUUCCUAGAUGUGGGGAGAUGACUUGCAUGCUGGUCAGACGUACCCUGAAGAGCGGCUACUGUGCUGUGCAAGGAAAAUGGUAGCACAGUGCUGAAAUCUUUGCCUGUACUUAUGUGCUGAAUGAUAUUGCUUAGAUUUUCUUCUAGAGAUUUUAUAGUUUUGGGUUUUACAUUUAAGUUUUUAAUCCACCUUGAGUUAAUUUUUGUAUAAGGCAUAAGGAAGGGGUCCAGUUUCAAUUUUCUGCAUGUGGCUAGCCAGUUUCCCCAGCGCCAGGUAUUAAAUAGGGAAUUUUUUCCCCAUUGCUUGUUUUUGUCAGGUUUGCCGAAUAUCAGUUGGUUGUAGAUGUGUGGUCUUAUUCCUGAGAUCUCUACUCUGUUCCAUUGGUUGAUGUGUCUGUUUUUGUACCAGUACCAUGCUGUUUUGGUUACUGUAGCCUUAUAGUAUAGAUUGAAAUCAGGUAGCGUGAUGCCUCCAGCCUUGUUCUUUUUGCUUAGGAUUGUCUUGGCUAUACGGGCUCUUUUUUGAUUCCAUAUGAAAUUUAAAGUAGUUUUUUUCUAAUUACGUGAAGAAUGUUAAUGGUAGUUUAAUGGGAAUAGCAUUGAAUCUAUAAAUUACUUUGGGCAGUAUAGCCAUUUUCACGAUAUUGAUUCUUCCUAUCCAUGAGCAAGGAAUGUUUUUCCAUCUGCUCGUGUCCUCCCUGAUUUCCUUGAGCAGUGGUUUGUAGUUCUCCUGUGGUUCUGGAAUAGCCAAGGAAGCCUGUUGUAAUGAGCGCUGAAGUUGCUUAUCAGCUUAAGAAUCUUUUAGGCUGAAGUGAUGGUGUUCUAUAGGUGUAGGAUCAUGUCAUCUACAAACAGAAACAGUUUGACUUCCUUUCUUCCUAUUUGAAUACCUUUAUGUCUUUCUCUUGCCUGAUUGCCCUGGCCAGAACUUCCAAUACUAUGUUGAAUAGGAGUGAUCAGAGAGGGCAUACUUGCCUUGUGCAGGUUUUCAAGAGGAAUGCUUUCAGCUUUUGCCCAUUUAGUAUGAUACUGGCUGUGGGUUUGUCAUAAAUGGUUCUGAUUAUUUUGAGGUAUGUUCCAUCAAUACCUAGUUUAUUGAGUGUUUUUAACAUGAAGGGAUGUUGAAUUUUAUCAAAGGCCUUUUCUGUGUCUAUUGAGAGAAUCAUGUGUUUUUUGUCUUUAGUUCUGUUUAUGUGAUGAAUUGCUUAUUGAUUUGCAUAUGUUGAACCAGCCUUGCAUCCCAGGAAUGAAGCCGACUUGAUUGUGGUGGAUAAGCUUUAUGAUGUGCUGGCUGGAUUCAGCUUGCCAGUAUUUUACUGAGGAUUUUGCAUUUUUGUUCAUCAGGGAUUUUGACCUGAAGGUUUCUUUUUUUUUUUUGUAUCUUUGCUAGGUUUUGGUAUCAGGAUGAUGCUGGCUUCAUAAAAUGAGUUAGGGAGGAGUUCCCCUUUUUCAAUUGUUUGGACUAGUUUCUGAAGAAAUGGUACCAGCUUUUCUUUGUACUUCUGGUAGAAUUUAGCUGCAAAUUCGUCUGGUCCUGGGCUUUUUUUGGUUGAUAGGAUUUGUUUUUGCCUCAGUUUUAGAACUUGUUAUUGGUCUAUUCAGGGAUUCAACUUCUUCCUGGUUUAGUCUUGGGAGGCUGUAUGUAUCCAGGAAUUUAUCCAUUUCUUCUAGAUCUUCUAGUUUAUUUGCAUAGAGGUGUUUAUAGUAUUUUCUGAUGGUUGUUUGUAUUUCUGUGGGGUCAGUGGUAAUAUCCCCUUUAUCAAUUUUUAUUGUGUCUAUUUGAUUCUUUUCUCUUUAUUAUUCUAGCCAGUGGUCUAUGUAUUUUAUUAAUUUUUUUUUCAAAAAACCAGCUCCUGGAUUCACUGAUUUUUUUGAAGGGUUUUUUGUGUCUCUAUCUUCUUCAGUUUUGCGCUGAGCUUGAUUAUUUCUUGUCUUCUGCUAGCUUUGGCGUUUGUUUGUGCUU